Long non-coding RNA from Drosophila miranda, 1921 nucleotides. RefSeq lists it as uncharacterized. The transcript is spliced from 5 exons. The record is from RefSeq and is a predicted model, not a curated record. Lineage: Eukaryota; Metazoa; Arthropoda; Insecta; Diptera; Drosophilidae.
CGCGGCCCUGGCGCAGCACAGGCCAAUGUGUUGGUUUUUAUUUUGUAUUUUUUUUUUUUUUUCGGCUUAGACAGGUGUACGCAGACGCUAUUGUUGUUGGGUGCCGUGCCGCCAGUUGGUCGUUGGUGGUGCUAUUGAUACGAGCAUAGCAUUGAGCACUGUUUUUUGAAAAGCCGUCCGUGCAUUCUACAAGUUUUCCAUCCAUCUACCGAAGACCUGUGCACACACACACACACCGAACCGAUUGAAAAACUUGGCAUUUAACUUGUUUUGGUUUUCGUUUUGGCCAUCGAGUGAAAUCUACAGGAACAGUGUGGGCACGAAAGGAUUGACCUCUGGAUCUACAAGACCAAGACCAAGACUCUAUAGAUCUGUAAUGACAUCCAUUUCAUGGUCUUCGUUACAUUGCCCUCUGCUUCGGAUCAGCAAGCAGCCAGAGGAUCUGCUGUAUUCAACGUUCGGCUAGAUGACGUGGGACUCUAAUGGAAAGCGAAGCAACAGGGCAAUCAAUGAAUCAAUGAACUGUACCCAUGGAACCCCGCAAGUAGACAUCUUGCCAAGGCAGGAAGGAAGGAAGACAAAGCGGAGAACUAAGGAGGUGGUAAUAUAGAGCUUCCCGACUUGCCGCGUUUGCUUAUUGGCUUACCCGCACACAAAUCAAGGUUAAUAGUGGAUGAGUAGAUGGUUGGAUGGACGGCUGUCUGUGAGCAUGCGCACACCUUUCCAAUCAAUCAGUUUACACAAAAUUAGCAUAAGCCCCAAACGCCCAACCAACGGUCACGUCACGACGACUCGAACAACUCCCAAAACUGUGGAAACAUGGGAAAUAUUCUGCACAUUGGCAUGGAAAAGUGAUCCAAUUGGGAAAGUUUAUGGCCAAAAAAUGUUCCAAAGGCUUCCAGGAUACAAGCAAAAAAAGGAACAACAAUGCACCUUUCAACCUCCUCCGCCGCUGACAAGACAAUGAAAAGUGAAAUUGUCUCGAUAGAUAUUUCGUUAUGUAUUUGGAGGUGGGGAGUGGGGAAUGGGGAAUGGGGGAAUCAAUGAAAGUCACAGCCAAAGUGCAGAGGGAGUCGAUGCUCGCAUGUUCGCAUAAUCAUGCCAAAAACGGCAACAAAAGACCAAUGAAAAAGUGGCAAAACACAACGACACAAAAAGCCAGCCGAAAAGGAGAAAGGCACACAGGCAAAGGCAAAGGCAGACUCUUAACAUUGAAGGCCUCAAGAGCUGAGGAGGAGCUGAGGAGCCACCAGCCCGUGCGAGUCUCAAAGCAUCACCUGCACAGAUCUGUUGGUGGCACAGAUCUGAAGGACGUUUGCCCAAAAGGCAGGCAACUUUCACCAUUCGAGACCCCAACGACAGAGCCAGCCAGCCAGCCAGCCAGCCAUCCAUUCCAGAUAGACGUACCCGAUGUCAAUCAGAAAUGCCAUCCACAUCCACAGACAGACAGACAGGUCUACUCGUACGGGUAUUUCUUUUUGCACAAUGCCCGAUUUCAUUGAGAAAUGCUGAAGGUUAAAAUGCAAUUGAAAGAAAUGAAAAUACAAAUAAUUGGGCAGACAUGAGAGGAAAGCUAAGAGAGGCUUCAACUUCAACUUGAAGCUCUCUGGCUCUUGUCACAGAUUUGCUUAUCAAAUUAGCCCCAAAUUGCGGCCAGCCAAGCGGAAAGUGGUGGCAAUUUCUGGCUUAAAGUGAUAGAAAAUAAUUCGAAAUAAUAAUCCCAUAUGAUUGGUAAUGUUUAAGCUUUAAAGUAGGCUUAAAGACUGUUAAAAACAAGUGAAAAUAUGUUGGGAGAUCUCUGAGAUCUUCAGAAGUCGGACAAACCUUGUUUUUUAGUGCCGAUAUUGGCAUCAGUACCGGUAGAUUUAAUAUUAGUGGAUUUGUUGUAAAUUUUAUUUGUAAAAUAUGCCGAAAAUUGUUC